GUAUAACCUGCCAGACAGGGAAACUGCGUACGGCUCAUUACACCAGCCUUAAUUUACUUGACCUUGACAACCUACUUGGAUAACUGUGGUAAUUCUAGAGCUAAUACAUGCACCAAAGCUCCGAUCCUCGCGGAGAGGAGCGCAUUUGUUCUCCACAAAACCAAGCGCCCAUCUGGGCGUCCAGUGCUGAACCAGAACAACUCAGCUGAUCGCACGGUCUUGUACCGGCGACGUGUCUUUCAAGUGUCUGCCUUAUCAACUUUCGAUGGUAGUGUACCUGACUACCAUGGUUGUGACGGGUAACGGAGGAUAAGGGUUCGACUCCGGAGAAGGGGCCUGAGAAAUGGCCACUACGUCUAAGGAUGGCAGCAGGCGCGCAAAUUACCCACUCUCAACGCGAGGAGGUAGUGACGAGAAAUAACGAGACCGUUCUCAUACGAGGCCGGUUAUUGGAAUGGGUACAAUUUAAA
This 470-nucleotide ribosomal RNA is filed under the name unidentified nematode Sourhope farm. RNAcentral describes it as "SSU rRNA". It matches the Rfam family "Eukaryotic small subunit ribosomal RNA", at positions 63 to 529 of the family's 1831-position model. Lineage: Eukaryota; Metazoa; Nematoda. The record is from RNAcentral.